CAGGUAGUAUGUGAAGACAGCAGCGGGAUCCCUCCCGAGGAGUUGGUAAUAAGGUAUCCCCAGAGCAUCAAACUAUUAAAUCAUCAUGUGAGAAGAGCCUCAACGUUUAUCAGGAUCCCAGUUUCCUGACCAGGGAUUGAACUCAGGCCUGCUUCAGUGAAAGCAUGGAGUCCCAACCACUGGACCAGCUGGGAAUUCCCUAUUCAAGAUCUUCAUCUCCUUACCCUGUAUCCUGAUGACACAGGGGAGGAAAGUUUCCAUAGUUUGAUAUAACCGGCAGCUGCCAACUGCACACAGGUGUCAGGCCAAAAGACAAAACCAAGCCAAAGAUCAGUAGAAGGAGAGAUUUAUUACUGCUUGCUUGCAGCAGUUUGCUUUAAGGUACCUGGAAGUUCCUGAGAGGAUCUGUAAGUCAACAGCACGGAUUUUUGAGCCAUGACCUGACCUGAUGUCCCUUCCCUGCCUCUCCCAAAGGCAGCAUGCUUGGGGCAGACAACGGGACCCCAGCCCCAGAGGGAGCAUCCAUCCCUGCUUAACCACCACCUGAGUCACGGGAGGGAGCUGCCAGCCAGAGAAGGCUUCUGCCCUCGAGUGAAGGGCUGACCAGGAGCAGAGGCUUGCUGCCCUCACCUAGCAUCACCGGGGAGCGUGCCGCUAGUCCAGGAAAAGAUGAAAAUUCAGAAUUCAAAGUACGGUUUCUGCUUGCUGAAUAUCACUUUCACACCAUCCUAAAGUCGAAAGAUAGAUGUUGCCUUUUUCCAAAAGAAACUUGAAGUGGGUUAAGAUAAAGAUGUGUACACGUUAAGAUGAACAGAGCAGACGUGAACAAGACAAGCGGGAAAUUGAGGAGAAGCAGACAACCUGACCUCAAGAACUAGCUAACCUCUGUGACUGACGAUAAGACUGGGCUUCGAGAGCUGGUAUCUAAGGCAGCUAACAGGAAACCUGAAACGUGCUUGCAGGAUCUCAGUUCCCCGACCAGGGAUUGAACCUACACCAUUGGCAGUGAAAGUGCAGAACCUAAUCUCUGGAUCGCCAUGGAAUUCCCUCAAAUACCCAUUUUGUUUCACCACAUGAAAUUGAAGCUACAUUCAUUUUUAAGACUUUAAUUCCGGAACAAAAUGUCAUUGGGUUAGAAUAUUCUGAUACAGCCCCACACCGAGCUCCCUCUUCUGAAUCAGGAUCAUCUGAACCUUGCAUUUUAGCAAAUAAAAAGGAAUGAUUAAACUAGCAAUGUGCUUUUCCCAUACAUUUAGCUCUUCCAUCUCUGACUACAAAGUUUGGAGGCAAUAAGGUCCCCAGUAUUUUGGUUUGAAAAACAUCUCUGUGUGAUUCUUGUAGCCAUGACAAGUAAGAAAAAAGGACUUCCCUGGUGAUCCAGUGGCUAAGACUCCAAGCUCCCAAGGCAGAGGGCCCGUGUUCAGUGCAGUCAAGGAACUAGAUCCCACACGCCACAGCUAGAGAGCCCCAAGCUGCAACGAAGAUCCUGUGGGCUGCAGCUGAGACCAGAGCAGCCAAAUAAAUGCGUGCGCUCAGUCGUGUCCAA
Non-coding RNA from Odocoileus virginianus texanus, 1546 nucleotides. The record is from RefSeq and is a predicted model, not a curated record. NCBI's taxonomy places the organism in Eukaryota, Metazoa, Chordata, Mammalia, Artiodactyla, Cervidae.